UAUAAUUGCGAUGGGGGGACGGAGCAGGCUAAGCAAGCAUGGCGUUGGUAGUCCAUGUGAAAGUGAGUAGGGCGUUUGUUUAGGUAAAUCCGGACGAACACUAAACCUGAGACACGAGACGAGUCACCAAGGUGAUGAAGUUGUUGAUGCCAUACUUCCAGGAAAAGCCUCUAAGCUUCAGAUUAUAUGGAAUCGUACCCCAAACCGACACAGGUGGUCAGGUAGAGAAUACUAAGGCGCUUGAGAGAACUCGGGUG
This 257-nucleotide ribosomal RNA is filed under the name Pseudoalteromonas sp. 5Ae-yellow. RNAcentral describes it as "partial 23S ribosomal RNA". It matches the Rfam family "Bacterial large subunit ribosomal RNA", at positions 1449 to 1706 of the family's 2925-position model. Lineage: Bacteria; Pseudomonadati; Pseudomonadota; Gammaproteobacteria; Alteromonadales; Pseudoalteromonadaceae. The record is from RNAcentral.